Pseudopipra pipra is the source of this 774-nucleotide long non-coding RNA. RefSeq lists it as uncharacterized. The record is from RefSeq and is a predicted model, not a curated record. NCBI's taxonomy places the organism in Eukaryota, Metazoa, Chordata, Aves, Passeriformes, Pipridae. The transcript has 2 exons.
UCUACCUCUUCAUUAAAGUCAAUCUUGCACCUUGCCUUGAGUCAAAGACUUCAAGAGAUGGGAAAGCCAUCGUCUCGCUCCAGCUACUCCUUCCCAUUAUUAAGCACCCUAGUAAAUAAAUGAGGAAAAAAAAAUGCACCUUUCCCAGAUUUUACAUUAUCUGGCUGCCUCCCCCUCUUGUUAUACACAGACUUUCAUCAUUUAUGGUCAAAACCAUUUCAGAGAACAAGGAGAGCGAUCUGCUGCUUUCCAGCCCUCUUGUCCCACCUGCCUACACACUGUCACUGAAGGGUCACCUCACCAGAUGCUUCAAGGCACUAGUAUGGCAGCUUGUGGGGAAUCUUGGCUGGGCCAGGACCCCUGGUAUAGAACAAGAAACUGGCUGAGAAUGGAGGCCCUGGUCCUGACAAUGUACUGAUGCAUCCUGAGAGAGCAGAGGAGCAGCAGGAGAGAGCUGUCCCGUGGGAACGGGGAACACUGUCUCAUGAGAAGGAGGACUUGUUUUGAACAGAGUGACUGAGAAAAAUAUAAACAACAAAGGAAAACAGGGACAGGUGCACAGAAGUGUUGUGAGAAAGUAGGACUGAGAAAGUCCAGAGAAAGUCCAGCUAAAAUCUACCUAUUAGCUGUGAGAAUUGUAGUUUGUGCAUUAAAGCUGACCUAUCUGUGUGAUAUACGUGUACAAAAAGAACUGUAUUUAAGAGGCUGUAAAUCACAGCUCGUGGCUGCUGCUGCUUCCUUAUUCUUUCCAAUAAACUUUCUUGCUGAAUAUUA